AGCAAUGCUCAUCACAUAAACAUGAAGUUUCCUCCAAAAGGAAUGAUGACUAAUGCUUUGAGGAAACAGCAGACGUCAGACAGCAAGCCCAGAAAAACCUGCCAGCACCAAGAGGGUGUCCUCAACAGGCGCCUGGGGGACAUAUUAUUCUAACUAAAGAGACCAGAGCUUCCCCAGGAAGGGAAGAGGAGAGAAAUGAAGAACGUCUGUGUUCAUGUUUGCCAAAAACAAAAGUCUGAGAAAUCUCUGAGAGACUCUACAUGGGAGCAUCAAGCACAAAUGAUGAUCUCCUAGGACAGUGGCAGCUUCUGAGAAUGCACAGGAAAGUGACCAGGGAAAGAAUGAUUCCAUCUCCAGGAAUCCCUGGUGAUCUUCAGAGCCCAGACAGGACCCUGCUGGGCCAUGGUAACUGAGAAACUGAGAAGCAGAUACAGUGGUCCCUAUGUUGGCAACCUCAGCUGAAGAGGAACAACUCUCUCUAUAAUCAAGACUUAAUCUUGGCCUGGUGUGCCUCAUUUUUAUAGGACUUCUGAAACCAGAAAUCACCAGCGUGGGGAGAGAACAUUAAAGGCAGAGGUGUCUCUUAUAAGCACAACGUGUGACCAGAACUUGGAUUACUGUCAGCUUCUAGUGUCUCCAUCAUUCAUAAUUGCACUGUGUUGGUCCACCCACUUUACUCCUAAAGAAGAGGUAAGAAACAGAAGAGGAGAUCACAGUGGCUCUUCAACUAUUAAUAUACCACAGACUUCAAUAACAAAUGAAGAGAAACAAGAAAAGAAAGCAAUGCAAAAAGAACGGUACUGCCCUCUUUCUCUCCUGAACCAUCAAUAAAUCAAGGGUAGAUAAUAGCCUAAA
Molecule: long non-coding RNA, 855 nt
Filed under: Homo sapiens (human)
Lineage: Eukaryota; Metazoa; Chordata; Mammalia; Primates; Hominidae
Description: SOX5 antisense RNA 1
Source: RNAcentral